This 441-nucleotide ribosomal RNA is filed under the name uncultured bacterium. Its description in RNAcentral is "partial 16S ribosomal RNA". It matches the Rfam family "Bacterial small subunit ribosomal RNA", at positions 338 to 795 of the family's 1533-position model. The record is from RNAcentral.
CCUACGGGGUGCAGCAGUGGGGAAUAUUGCACAAUGGGGGAAACGCUGAUGCAGUGACGUCGCGUGAGUGAAGACGUCUUUCGGGAUGUAAAGCUCUAUCAGCAGGGAAGCAGCAAGACGGUACUUGACUACGUAGCCCCGGCUAACUACGUGCCAGCAGCCGCGGUAAUACGUAGGGGGCAAGCGUUAUCCGGAUUUACUGGGUGUAAAGGGAGCGUAGACGGUAGGGCAAGUCUGAAGUGAAAGCCCAGGGCUUAAACCUGGUACUGCCUUUGAAACUGUUAGACUAGAGUGCUGGAGAGGUAAGUGGAAUUCCUAGUGUAGCGGUGAAAUGCAUAGAUAUUAGGAGGAACACCAGUGGCGAAGGCAGCAUACUGGACAGUAACUGACGUUGAUGCUCGAAAGCGUGGGGAGCGAACAGGAUUAGAUACCCGAGUAGUC